GAUGAACGCUGGCGGCGUGCCUAAUACAUGCAAGUCGAGCGAACAGAUAAGGAGCUUGCUCCUUUGACGUUAGCGGCGGACGGGUGAGUAACACGUGGGUAACCUACCUAUAAGACUGGAAUAACUCCGGGAAACCGGGGCUAAUGCCGGAUAACAUUUAGAACCGCAUGGUUCUAAAGUGAAAGAUGGUUUUGCUAUCACUUAUAGAUGGACCCGCGCCGUAUUAGCUAGUUGGUAAGGUAACGGCUUACCAAGGCAACGAUACGUAGCCGACCUGAGAGGGUGAUCGGCCACACGGGAACUGAGACACGGUCCAGACUCCUACGGGAGGCAGCAGUAGGGAAUCUUACGCAAUGGGCGAAAGCCUGACGGAGCAACGCCGCGUGAGUGAUGAAGGUCUUCGGAUCGUAAAGCUCUGUUAUUAGGGAAGAACAAAUGUGUAAGUAACUGUGCACGUCUUGACGGUACCUAAUGAGAAAGCCACGGCUAACUACGUG
RNAcentral lists this ribosomal RNA (497 nucleotides) under uncultured bacterium. Its description in RNAcentral is "partial 16S ribosomal RNA". It matches the Rfam family "Bacterial small subunit ribosomal RNA", at positions 28 to 507 of the family's 1533-position model. The record is from RNAcentral.